This is a long non-coding RNA of Rhinopithecus roxellana (golden snub-nosed monkey), 984 nucleotides long. RefSeq lists it as uncharacterized. Lineage: Eukaryota; Metazoa; Chordata; Mammalia; Primates; Cercopithecidae. The record is from RefSeq and is a predicted model, not a curated record. The transcript is spliced from 3 exons.
CAAAAAUUGAGCGUUGGGGGAGAAGAUGUGUAAUAAUUGUCUUCAGAUAUUUGACCUGCCACCCUGUUGAUGUAGGAUUAAACUUCUAUAGGAAUAUAGAGCUAUUGGAGCAGUGAUUCUGGAAGAGGGGCAUGUGGAGCAUUAGGAUGGAAAAAUUCAGAGAACCAGAGAAAUGGACUAUAAAUUCCACAAGAUCAGAGCUCUACAUGAAUGCUGGUACAUAUCAGCACAAAGAUGCCUUCAGCCUGCAGACAGCAAAACCUUUUAACCUCACCUCUUUGCCAUAGUAAUUUGGAAACCAAAUUUUGAAAUAAGCUUGAUAGUGGCGCACAAGAAAAGUCCAACAUUUUCUUGAAACAUUGGAAGUCUUUUGAGGUUUUGCCCUCUUCCUCCUCCUUUUUCUUGCUCCUGUGUAAUUCUGAACGAUAUUCAUCAUCCAAGGGAAUGGGGUACGGUGAUAAUCAUUUUUUGAUAUCAAUGUGUUGCACAGUCAUUUACACUGAACAUCUGUGGCCUAUUAUAAGGAAGUCAUAAAGUGGGAAGCCUCAGUGCCCACACAGGGCAAGACCAUCAGUGUUGAUGUGAAGAUAUUUUGGUCAAGAGCGCCACCUCUCAGCAGUGAAUCAAACUGGCCCCCUGUGGGCCAAAAUCCGAGGAACCAUUGGCCAGUGGAAGAGUGAAUCGUCUAGUCACUAGUAUUUUCUCAUUGCUCUUCACCCAAUUACUUUUGUAUUAAACAGUGAGAAAGUGCCUGAGACUGUGCAUUGUGUCUGUUUUAAUGGAAGCACACAGGAGGUGGAUAAACCUGCGCUCUGAAAAAUAGCCCUGAGUUUUCCGUGUCAAUAGUUUUGCACCAUGAAUUCACUACUAAAAGAGGGUAAUAAAAAAUUCUUAGCUACUUAUUUAAAAAUGUAGAUCCUUACAGAGUAAAACAAGUCUUCAAACUUUAUCAAGGUUAAGAAUUAUGCCUUAGCAUUUUAGAGA